This 1779-nucleotide long non-coding RNA is filed under the name Nicotiana tabacum (common tobacco). RNAcentral describes it as "long non-coding RNA (NTAB_LNC018629)". The record is from RNAcentral. Lineage: Eukaryota; Viridiplantae; Streptophyta; Magnoliopsida; Solanales; Solanaceae.
CCAUAAAAGACUAAACCGUCUUCCCAUUUGAAUUACCCUACACUUUCCUUAAAUCACAACCUAUUUCUCCUUUAUAGGGGUAGAGAGAGAUAUAUUCAUCGGCCGGCCCACAAGGCCACAAUCAAACAACAGUUGAUAUAAAGGGCAAAUGGGAAGAGUAGCAGAAAUAGUUUUUAAUCCUAGUAGUAGUAGAGCUUGACAAAUCUUCUAAAUUUACUUUUAGACCUCUCUGAAGCAAUUCCUCAAAAUGGGGCGGUUGACGUCCGAUAGAGAGACUUCUUUUUGGGAACUUGAGCAGCUGAUUCUAAGCGUAACUGGCCACAUGAAAGAGAACAAGUUAAAAUGAUGAUUCUGUUUUCUAAUUAAAGAAAUCACUAGUUGUAAACAGAAUGAACUGUCUUAAAUGUUUUCAAAUGAUUCUUGGAUACUCCAUAUAUUUCCAAGAUCAGUAAAUGAAGAGCAGAACAUGGUAGAAAUAAAGGACCUGUUGCUGCUGCUUCUUGAGCCUGGCAUUUUCUUCUAACAAAUGGGCAACUUCCAGCUCCAACUCGUUCAUAUAAGCCUGCAAGUAUGGAGAAAGAUCAGAUAAGACAAAAAUAAGAGAGAAAACUCAGCAUAUUGUCAAAACCAAGAAGACAUAAACAAAAGGAGAAAAGAUUAAGAAUGAAUAUAGAUUUAUUCACGUGCAAUGUACAAAAUGUUCAUGCCCUUGAAUGUUUUUUUAAUGUAAUGUCCUUUUCUGGUUUUUAUUGUUUUUGUAAAGGGACAAUGACCAUCUUUAGUCGAAUAAACAUAGUUUAUUGCUAAAACUCGACAACACAACAGAAAGCGUUUUUACAACAAUAUAUGAUUAAGAAAAGUGUAACUUUCCUGCUUUCUAGCCCUUGAUCUAGCAGCAGACUCACGGUUCUUAAUCAUCCUCUUAUUUCUCCUGUCCCCUACAGAAUUAUUCUCUAUUUCAGGAAUCCUUUUUCUUCCAUUAGCAGCUGAAGAAGCCAAGCCCUCAAAUGGAACUUGAGAAAUAGGGGUUGGUGGGUGCAACAUUGAGUUUUGACCAAAGAAAUGAAGCUCUGGAACUGAGUUCAAAUUCAGCAUAGUAGUAGCCGGAACAGGAGAUGCUGCUUGUGGUGGUGGAGGGUCAGUAGCAAAAGGCCGAGCCAAGAAAUCUUGUAAAAUCAUGCCAUUAAAAUUAGCUGUUUGAUGAUGAUGAUCAUGAUCUCUAGAGUAAGUAGUAGUGUGUUCUUGAAGUGAAGAAAGAUUAAUGUCUUUCCAAACUUCUUCCAUAGUUUUUAGUCUUGGAUUUAGGUGAUGAUUUAAAGGAGAAAAUGGGGAACGAGAUGAAGAAGAAGAAGUAGAAGAUGAUGAUUUGGAAGAAGAAGAUGAAAUGCCUCUGCUACUGGUUGAUGACCACAUUCUUGGAGAAGUAGAACAAAGAUUAAAAAGGGAAAACUUUAUUGAGAAAGCGAAUUUAGAAUGUACUCUUUUAUCUUCUAGCUACUACUACUAUUUCUUUCUCGUACUACCACUAACAAUAAAAAGAGACACAAAACUCCUCAAAACCAACCAGCCUAGGCGCAAUCUCGACGGAGGGGAGGCAAUACAAGUCACAAAUGGUGAUGUCUGCUUUCGUAUUGUCAUGUCGAAAUGGUACGAUAAUCCACGCGCCUAAAUAUGUGACGCUUUGGCAGUGAGAGUGUACUAACAUUUCUCUAAAGUCACCUUAAAAGUACCAAGUUGGGAGAAGAAGAGAAGAGGAUGAAGAAAGAAGUCACUGAAAUC